CCUUCGGGUGUGAAUUAGCGGCGAACGGGUGAGGAACACGUGAAGAAUCUGCCUUCAACUCUGGGAUAACUCCGGGAAACCGGGGCUAAUACCGGAUAUGAGCCUUGAUCGCAUGAUCGGGGCUGGAAAGUUUUUCGGUUGAAGAUGACUUCGCGGCCUAUCAGCUUGUUGGUGAGGUAAUGGCUCACCAAGGCGACGACGGGUAGCCGGCCUGAGAGGGCGACCGGCCACACUGGGACUGAGACACGGCCCAGACUCCUACGGGAGGCAGCAGUGGGGAAUAUUGGGCAAUGGAGGAAACUCUGACCCAGCGACGCCGCGUGAGGGAUGAAGGCCUUCGGGUUGUAAACCUCUUUCAGUAGGGAAGAAGCGAAAGUGACGGUACCUACAGAAGAAGCACCGGCUAACUAUGUGCCAGCA
RNAcentral lists this ribosomal RNA (420 nucleotides) under uncultured bacterium. Its description in RNAcentral is "bacterial SSU rRNA". It matches the Rfam family "Bacterial small subunit ribosomal RNA", at positions 77 to 513 of the family's 1533-position model. The record is from RNAcentral.